Molecule: non-coding RNA, 427 nt
Organism: Myripristis murdjan (pinecone soldierfish)
Lineage: Eukaryota; Metazoa; Chordata; Actinopteri; Holocentriformes; Holocentridae
Source: the annotation of a RefSeq genome assembly
AUGUUGUCUGUAGCUCUGCUGCUGCUGCUGGCUGCUGGAUCCUGUGUUGAUGGUCAGACUCUGACACAAUCUGAACCAGUGGUUAAAAAGCCUGCAGAGUCCCACAGAUUGACCUGCACAGCCUCUGGAUUCACAUUCAGUGACUACGGGAUGAACUGGAUCAGACAGGCUCCUGGAAAAGGACUGGAGUGGAUUGCAAUUAUCAGCAGCACUGGUGGCACCACCUACUAUUCCCAGUCAGUCCAAGGCCGGUUCACCAUCUCCAGAGACAACAGCAGACAGCAGCUGUAUCUGCAGAUGAACAGUCUGAAGACUGAAGACUCUGCUGUUUAUUAUUGUGCUCGAGAGCCACAGUGACUGGAGUUUCCUUCAGGUUUGGCUUCUGUUGCCCUCCUACUCAGCGUCUGUUUUGACUGACUUUGAGUGA